This 21-nucleotide non-coding RNA is filed under the name Caenorhabditis elegans. Lineage: Eukaryota; Metazoa; Nematoda; Chromadorea; Rhabditida; Rhabditidae. The record is from RNAcentral.
UAUUCAAAUUUCCGUAUGUCA